Molecule: ribosomal RNA, 134 nt
Filed under: uncultured eukaryote
Lineage: Eukaryota
Description: partial small subunit ribosomal RNA
Rfam family: Eukaryotic small subunit ribosomal RNA
Source: RNAcentral
CCCUGCCAUUUGUACACACCGCCCGUCGCUCCUACCGAUUGAGUAAUCCGGUGAAUGGUCCGAACGCUCCUGAGCCUCGUGCAACAAGCAUCGUUAACCUCACUACUUAGAGGAAGGAGAAGUCGUAACAAGGU